GCCCUGCAUCCUACAUCAUGCUCUCAUGUCCAAAAACAACAGUACAGUAACACCACUAUGUCCUAUUAAUGUCCUUAAAGGUUUGUACAGAGAGUCUUGUGGUGGUUUUUAAUCCGAAGUAUUUGGGAGAGGCGACUUCGCUCUACUACGUCAUUGUUGGAACGCGCUCAGUUUCCGGGUGUGGAAACCUGCAGCCAGGCUCGUGCCAUUGCAUUGCUUCGGUUCUCACGGAUUUUAGUGGUGGUCUACGCAUUCCUACGCUUCUGUGAGCCCCUUCACUAUACAAAAGGAAAUAUGGUUCCUACAGCAGGUGCCCAUCUGACCUAAAAUAAAGGUACACGGUGACAUGUGAGGUUGUCA
Molecule: long non-coding RNA, 360 nt
Filed under: Scleropages formosus (Asian bonytongue)
Lineage: Eukaryota; Metazoa; Chordata; Actinopteri; Osteoglossiformes; Osteoglossidae
Description: lncRNA (ENSSFOG00015025237.1)
Source: RNAcentral